RNAcentral lists this ribosomal RNA (254 nucleotides) under uncultured bacterium. Its description in RNAcentral is "partial 16S ribosomal RNA". It matches the Rfam family "Bacterial small subunit ribosomal RNA", at positions 524 to 776 of the family's 1533-position model. The record is from RNAcentral.
UACAGAGGUCCCGAGCGUUGUUCGGAUUCAUUGGGCGUAAAGGGUGCGUAGGCGGCGGGGAAAGUCUGAUGUGAAAUCCUGGGGCUCAACCCUGGAACUGCAUUGGAUACUUCCUUGCUAGAGUACUGGAGAGGAAACUGGAAUUUACGGUGUAGCAGUGAAAUGCGUAGAGAUCGUGAGGAAGACCCGUGGCGAAGGCGGAUCUCUGGACGGCUAACUGACGCUGAGGCGCGAAGGCCAGGGGAGCAAACGGG